Long non-coding RNA from Cyprinus carpio carpio, 1463 nucleotides. Lineage: Eukaryota; Metazoa; Chordata; Actinopteri; Cypriniformes; Cyprinidae. The record is from Ensembl.
CACCCUUCAAAGACCAAGUGGUGAACCUGCAAGCGAUGCCCCUGGAGGAGGCAGACCCAGCCCUGGCUUUGCUCUGUCCCGCCCGAGCAUUGAGAUGCUACGUAGACCGGACAAAAAGCUUCAGGACCUCAGACCAGCUCUUUGUCUGUUAUGGAGGCUGGCAGAAGGGGAAUGCCAUCUCUAAGCAGAGGAUGGCCCACUGGAUUGUGGAUACCAUAACCCUGGCUUAUCAGGCACAGGGUGUGCCCUGCCCGUUCAGGUUGCGAGCCAGUAUCCUCCUGUGUUCUCACCUCAAAUGGGAGGCCCCGGUUAGUGUCAGCUUGCUAAAACUGCUUCAGAGUGUCCGUACUCUAGACCCUGUUGAGUUCCUCCAUCACCCUAGGCAGCUGGAUGUGGUGGAAUGUCCGGCGCCAGGCCUUCAUGAUGAAUCCGUGAGAACCGUGGAAGGCUGGGUUCCAUAUUGAGACCUAAGCGGUAUUUGUAUGUGUAUAGUCCACAGUACAGCCUUAGAGCCAGUGCUUCCCCAGCAGACUUCUGCCGUCCCAAGAGGGUUUUAAUCACCUCCAAUUUCUCCAUAUACGCCUAAAUGUAUGCUAUAUCUGUAUUUGCUUCCAAAAACUCCUUCGGGAAGGAUGGGGCUUCUGCAGUGAGGUAGUGCUUUGACAGUGGUCAGUGGAACUACUUGUUCCGAGCCCAGGCCUACACCAAAUGGGGUGCAGGUGGCUUGCACAGGGCACUGGAAGGGGCAGCACCCAUGGCGCUUUGGUAGGCAUCCCAAUGCGUCAGUCACUGACGUGACGUCGAGAGUGACCGACUGAAAGGGAACGUCUCGGUUACCAUAUGUAACCGAGACUUCAUUCCGAUUCUUAAGUUUGUGGACACCAGACUUGACGGAAUGAAAAGUUUUAAAUAAUUUUGAGGAAACUGAAAAGUUCUUUCAUGUGUGUGUGAAACUCUAUGAACAGGAAUAAUGUGGCUCUGUAGUGUGUGUUUUGGCAAUAGUAGAGGCGUGGUGAUGCUCUAAAUUGGCCAAUUACAUUCAUCCAUCCCUCGUUCAUCACUCUGUUUGUCUGUCGAAUGUUUGCUGACGGAUCAGAGCCGUGGAUCCAUUCCAGCGCUUUUCCACAUGAUUAGAUGGAACUAAUUAUUCUCACAUCUCACACUCAGUCUGGAAUAAACUAAUUACCCUAUCUCUUAAUGAAGGGAGAAAGGAAUCCUGCUAGAAUUCCUGCAAACACCUUUCAGAUCCACUCACAUCUACAAAUAUUUGGCUGGAAGUUAAUUGGAAGUCCAGAAGACUGAAAAAAACCCUGCAAUAAAAAAUAAAGAAAAAAAAACAAAACAAAAGGCAUAUAAGUUAAAUAAAUGUGGUAUGAGACAUUUGUUUUACCUUAGGGAGCAACACAUUGCUGUUAAUUGCUAGCUUGAUUAAUAGAUCUGAUUAACCGAGAGCAGUGAAUAAC